This 444-nucleotide ribosomal RNA is filed under the name Triticum aestivum (bread wheat). Its description in RNAcentral is "partial small subunit ribosomal RNA". The record is from RNAcentral. Lineage: Eukaryota; Viridiplantae; Streptophyta; Magnoliopsida; Poales; Poaceae.
AUGGAGUUCUUUGUUGUAGGGUUAAAUAUGUUGUAUGGAAGCAUUCCGAAUGAUAUCGGAAGCAAGUUCCUCAAGUUUGAAGCUCUUAACUUGGACAGUAAUCACUUCACACGAACCAUCCCUUCUUCAAUAUCCAACAUAUCUUUCCUCAAUUAUCUUGACCUCGGCAACAAUAGAUUUAGUGGGUACAUUCCUCCCACAUUGGGGAAGCUGGGAGCCCUCCAAAUUGUGGACUUGGCUUACAGUAAUCUUGAAACAAAUGAAAACAAGGGGUGGGAAUUCAUCACUCUUUUGGCAAACUGCACCCAAUUGCGGCGAUUACAACUAGGGGGCGACUCUUUUGGAGGAAAAUUACCUGCAUCAGUGGUCAACCUCUCGAGAACUCCCCAGUACUUAUUCAUAGCAGACAAUAGAGUCUAUGGGAGUAUUCCUGUCGCUUGUUAG